GCCGUAGCCACAAUGCGCAAUGAUUUUGCAGCAUCUAAUUUGGAAGAAUGCUUACUAGCUAAAGGAGUGCUUUAUAUUCAAGUAAUUCCUAUGGGUGGAAAUAAAUUCCUCCUCUCCAUUGAAUCGAAAGAGCUUAUGGAUGGUUUUAUUGCAGAAUAUUACUCUUGGGUCACUCAAUGGAUUUUUUAACACCGGGAAGCUCUAUGUACACCUUUGAAUCGGCUAGCAUGGCUGAGACUCUAAGGAGUACCUCUCAACGCCCCGUCUAACCACCUCUUUGAGUAGGUAGCGAGUUUCUUUGGGAAAUAAGUCCCUGUGGACGGUCCAACUCACGCUAAAGCAAGGUUGGAUUCAGCAAGGAUCUUAAUCUCAACUGCUCACCAAGGUCCCAUUAACAAAUCUCUUGUAGUGGAUUUAGAGAGCAAUCCUUUUAAUAUUAAUGUAUCAGAUUCAUGCAGCAAGGUACCAGCCAGCUCUUCCCUUAGACACUGGCAAGGAAGAAGAAGAUGAUGAUGUGGAUGGCUCAAAUGGAAUUGACGAGUUAGAGGAUGCCAAAAUGAUCGUAGCAGUCCCUGAAGACUCGCCUACAGGGGAUGCCGCUACUUCUCUCCAGUCGUCUGACAUGGAGAACCAAUUCGUUGCACCUGGCAAUCACUGUCAAAUUAAUCUCGUUGCAGAGUCUCCAGCUGCCAACCUUGGGUCACCAAACUACAGCCGACUUCGUCAGUGCGGCAAUUCUCGGUCCUUUGACCUUCUGGCAGCUGCCAUUGCAGAAAGUUGUUUAUGAGAGUGUGCUUUUUCUGCUCAGCGUGAACUGGGCUUCCUGGACCCUUGCUCCUCUAAUCUAAAUCAACUGGUUUCCCCUUCCUAUGUUUCCGACCCCAAUGUCUUGGCUGUCGUUCCUUUUGAGCCCCCUGAAGAUUUCUUGCUUGCAGUCCACCCUAGGACUUCCUCCAUUGUGCAAAGCUGUGUUAAAGUUUGCAGAUUGCUAAAACAGAGGAAAAAGAAAACCAAGUUCAUCUCAGAGCUUUUUGAUUUGUCCCCAAAACUCUCCCGAGUCGGCAAGAGAAAAAAAAUCUCAAAAGGGAAACGAUCAAAUUCUCCAGUUGUGUCUGGAAGCCAAAUAGAAGAGCCUGCACACAGUGACAUCUGCAGCAUGAACUCUCAUCAUCGGAGCUUAAUUCAAGGCACUCCGGUGUCUCCUGCAC
RNAcentral lists this unclassified non-coding RNA (1208 nucleotides) under Hevea brasiliensis (rubber tree). The record is from RNAcentral. Lineage: Eukaryota; Viridiplantae; Streptophyta; Magnoliopsida; Malpighiales; Euphorbiaceae.